GACGAACGCUGGCGGCGUGCUUAACACAUGCAAGUCGAACGGAAAGGCCUCUUUCGGGGGGUACUCGAGUGGCGAACGGGUGAGUAACACGUGAGUAACCUGCCCUUGACUUUGGGAUAACUACAGGAAACUGGGGCUAAUACCGGAUAGGAGCUCCUGCUGCAUGGUGGGGGUUGGAAAGUUUCGGCGGUUGGGGAUGGACUCGCGGCUUAUCAGCUUGUUGGUGGGGUAGUGGCUUACCAAGGCUUUGACGGGUAGCCGGCCUGAGAGGGUGACCGGCCACAUUGGGACUGAGAUACGGCCCAGACUCCUACGGGAGGCAGCAGUGGGGAAUAUUGCACAAUGGGUGGAAGCCUGAUGCAGCAACGCCGUGUGCGGGAUGACGGCCUUCGGGCUGUAAACCGCUUUCGCUCAUGACGAAGCUUUGUGUGACGGUAGUGGGUAAAGAAGCACCGGCUAACUACGUG
Molecule: ribosomal RNA, 467 nt
Filed under: uncultured bacterium
Lineage: Bacteria
Description: partial 16S ribosomal RNA
Rfam family: Bacterial small subunit ribosomal RNA
Source: RNAcentral